Molecule: ribosomal RNA, 429 nt
Filed under: Actinomycetes bacterium
Lineage: Bacteria; Bacillati; Actinomycetota; Actinomycetes
Description: Actinobacteria bacterium partial 16S ribosomal RNA
Rfam family: Bacterial small subunit ribosomal RNA
Source: RNAcentral
UAGGGAAUCUUCCGCAAUGGGCGAAAGCCUGCCGGAGCAACGCCGCGUGAGUGAUUAAGGUCUUCGGAUCGUAAAACUCUGUUAUUAGGGAAGAACAAAUGUGUAAGUAACUAUGCACGUCUUGACGGUACCUAAUCAGAAAGCCACGGCUAACUACGUGCCAGCAGCCGCGGUAAUACGUAGGUGGCAAGCGUUAUCCGGAAUUAUUGGGCGUAAAGCGCGCGUAGGCGGUUUUUUAAGUCUGAUGUGAAAGCCCACGGCUCAACCGUGGAGGGUCAUUGGAAACUGGAAAACUUGAGUGCAGAAGAGGAAAGUGGAAUUCCAUGUGUAGCGGUGAAAUGCGCAGAGAUAUGGAGGAACACCAGUGGCGAAGGCGACUUUCUGGUCUGUAACUGACGCUGAUGUGCGAAAGCGUGGGGAUCAAACAGG